AUUGAACGCUGGCGGCAUGCCUUACACAUGCAAGUCGAACGGCAGCACGGGAGCAAUCCUGGUGGCGAGUGGCGAACGGGUGAGUAAUAUAUCGGAACGUGCCCAGUCGUGGGGAUAACGUAGCGAAAGCUACGCUAAUACCGCAUACGAUCUAUGGAUGAAAGCGGGGGAUCGCAAGACCUCGCGCGAUUGGAGCGGCCGAUAUCAGAUUAGGUAGUUGGUGAGGUAAAGGCUCACCAAGCCGACGAUCUGUAGCUGGUCUGAGAGGACGACCAGCCACACUGGGACUGAGACACGGCCCAGACUCUACGGAGGCAGCAGUGGGGAAUUUUGGACAAUGGGCGCAAGCCUGAUCCAGCAAUGCCGCGUGCAGGAUGAAGGCCUCGG
Molecule: ribosomal RNA, 387 nt
Filed under: uncultured bacterium
Lineage: Bacteria
Description: bacterial SSU rRNA
Rfam family: Bacterial small subunit ribosomal RNA
Source: RNAcentral